This 981-nucleotide long non-coding RNA is filed under the name Homo sapiens (human). RNAcentral's name for it is "long non-coding RNA NONHSAT145184.2". Lineage: Eukaryota; Metazoa; Chordata; Mammalia; Primates; Hominidae. The record is from RNAcentral.
GGUUACCAAGGUUACCGCCGAGAGGCCGCGUCCUCAGCUGGUCCUAGACAUGCGUGGCGUCGGGGCUGUGGCACGGUCGGGUCCGGGGACACUUGUUUAACAAGACAUCUGCCCAUGUCCCUGGCCCAUCUCAUUGGCUGCAGCACAUCACAGUGGACCUUCUGCCUCCUCCCAGAUGCCCAGGGACAGUGAUCUGGAAGGAAGGGGCUUGAGGCUGUUUUCCUAGAACUCGACUUGAAUGCACCAAGGAAAGGCCAUUUGUGGGGACAUAGCAAGAAGGCAGCUGUCUGCAAGCCAGGAGGAGAACCCUCACCAGAAACCUCACAGAAAUCGGCCAACACCCUCAUCUCGGGCUUCCAGCUUCAGAACAACGAGAAAACAAAUUUCUGUUGUGUCCUGGUUCCCAUUUGUAAUUGGCACCCUAAUGAAACCGUUUUCUGUAGCCCUGGAAAUGGCUGAAAAUGAGGGGAGGGAAAUAAAGUGCUAUAAUUCAGAGCAUGGAGCACACCUUCCUGGUUCACCUGAGCUGGAUUCGGAGAGGUAAAAUGGCCAUUACCUCGUCUAAGCUGCCACUUACAGACACAGUACAGGAUGAGGCCCAGACCCACAGAGACAACGAUGAUGGCCACAGCUAAGAUGAUCCAGAAAUUAUUCCUCCACCAGCUCAUUGCAGUGGAAUCCUGAGAAGAAUGGAGAGAGAAGAAUGAGAGGGCAAAAGCAGAUGGCUACACCGAGAACUCACGCCAGCCCAACACACUUUGAUCUCGAGGCCUCUGGAAGGGAAGGUGCCUAAUGAACUACUGAAAGCCAGAGAUGCAAUGACAAAGGUACCAAGACUGGAGGUGAUCCAGGUCUUUCAUCCAAGAGCCCCAAGACGUAGCCUAAAUUCAUGCUACGGUAAUCCCAGCACUUUGGGAGGCCGAGGCGGGCGGAUCACCUGAGGUCAGGAGUUCGAGAGCAGCCUGGCCAACAUGGUGAAAC